Molecule: long non-coding RNA, 525 nt
Filed under: Panax ginseng (ginseng)
Lineage: Eukaryota; Viridiplantae; Streptophyta; Magnoliopsida; Apiales; Araliaceae
Description: long non-coding RNA (PGIN_LNC012495)
Source: RNAcentral
UUCAAACCGUUGAAUACCUCAUGCUCUCCAGGGAAACCUUCUAUAAACCGGGAUCGGAAUCCUGAACUCUCUCCACAUACAACUCUAAUUGCUGCUUUAGUUCUAAAUCCUCCUCCGACUAUUAACCCACAAUUUUAAUUAUAUUAACAAUUCCAAAGUCAACAAUAAUUUUUUUUUAAAAAAAAGUCAACCAAUUUUCUUGAUUUUCUCAGAGCAACAAAACAAAACUAGGAACUUACGAUAUCCUCAUCCUUCUUAUCGUCCUUCUUCUUAGAGUCCUUUGAAGAAACCUUAACCGAUGCCUCAUCUCGGAUGGCUCCGCUGCCGCUGGCAUUAUUUGGAACCGGUGCCAUGGUGAAUCGAGUACAAGCUAAAACCCUAGAAUCAAAGAGGAGAGAGUUAUUGCAGAGAUAUUAGUAUAUGAGAGUUUCGUUUUCGCCAAGCAAACAAGGCUUUCAAGUCUUUCACUCGUCUGAACGGGGUUAGAGAGGAGAGAGAGCGGUAGACGAAGAGUAACAAGAGAGG